Molecule: non-coding RNA, 27 nt
Filed under: Rattus norvegicus (Norway rat)
Lineage: Eukaryota; Metazoa; Chordata; Mammalia; Rodentia; Muridae
Source: RNAcentral
UGAGAUAUUUUGGUAGGGGACCCAGUG